Molecule: ribosomal RNA, 496 nt
Filed under: uncultured bacterium
Lineage: Bacteria
Description: bacterial SSU rRNA
Rfam family: Bacterial small subunit ribosomal RNA
Source: RNAcentral
GAUGAACGCUAGCUACAGGCUUAACACAUGCAAGUCGAGGGGAAACGACAUCGAAAGCUUGCUUUUGAUAGGCGUCGACCGGCGCACGGGUGAGUAACGCGUAUCCAGCCUGCCCACCACUUGGGGAUAACCUUGCGAAAGUAAGACUAAUACCCGAUGAUAUCUCUAGAAGACAUCUGAAAGAGAUUAAAGAUUUAUCGGUGAUGGAUGGGGAUGCGUCUGAUUAGCUUGUUGGCGGGGUAACGGCCCACCAAGGCGACGAUCAGUAGGGGUUCUGAGAGGAAGGUCCCCCACAUUGGAACUGAGACACGGUCCAAACUCCUACGGGAGGCAGCAGUGAGGAAUAUUGGUCAAGUGGGCGAGAGCCUGAACCAGCCAAGUAGCGCGCAGGACGACGGCCCUAUGGGUUGUAAACUGCUUUAUAAGGAUAAAGUGAGUCUCGUGAGACUUUUUGCAUGUACCUUAUGAAUAAGACGCUAAUCCGUGCCAGCAGCCG